AAAACUGGAAUCAACCUAAAUGUUCUUCAGCAGAUGAAUGGUUCAACAAACUGUGGUACGUUCAUACCCUGGAAUAUUACUCAGCGAUAAA
Non-coding RNA from Ceratotherium simum simum (southern white rhinoceros), 91 nucleotides. The record is from RefSeq and is a predicted model, not a curated record. NCBI's taxonomy places the organism in Eukaryota, Metazoa, Chordata, Mammalia, Perissodactyla, Rhinocerotidae.